GUGAGUCUCUUGAGCCAUGUACUGCCCUCUCGGGUUACUCACUGGUUGGCUUGGAAGCUUGCCUUCCUCUCUCUUAUUUAGUGCACUCGCUAGCUGCCCUAGCUGGGUUUCUAAUUUGGCAAUAGACUGGAUAUGGGAGUGCAACAAUUGUGUAUUGGCUUCGAAUCCUUGAAGGGCAGUCAAAACUUUUUUCUCAAAAGCCAUAUCUCUUUGGGGUGCUGGAGGAGGGAUAUGUUGAAAUUGUGAAUAGUGAGUAGGAGGACGGUUCGGAUGAACAUUCUGGAAUGGUUGAAAGUUUUGGGAAUAAGGCUGGGAGGUAUUGGAAGUCUGCUGCUUCCAAGAGAAAUUCGGAUGGUUGCGCCAUCCCGGGUUGUAAGUGGUAGAAUAUGGAUCAUUACCCGGUCGG
Molecule: long non-coding RNA, 406 nt
Filed under: Phoenix dactylifera (date palm)
Lineage: Eukaryota; Viridiplantae; Streptophyta; Magnoliopsida; Arecales; Arecaceae
Description: long non-coding RNA (PDAC_LNC015580)
Source: RNAcentral